This 371-nucleotide ribosomal RNA is filed under the name uncultured bacterium. RNAcentral describes it as "bacterial SSU rRNA". It matches the Rfam family "Bacterial small subunit ribosomal RNA", at positions 527 to 896 of the family's 1533-position model. The record is from RNAcentral.
GAAGGUCCCAAGCGUUGUUCGGAAUCACUGGGCGUAAAGGGAGCGUAGGCGGCGUGGUAAGUCAGAUGUGAAAUCCCGGGGCUCAACCCCGGAACUGCAUCCGAUACUGCCGUGCUUGAGGGUUGGAGAGGUAGCUGGAAUUCUCGGUGUAGCAGUGAAAUGCGUGGAUAUCGAGAGGAACACUCGAGGCGAAGGCGAGCUACUGGACAACAUCUGACGCUGAGGCUCGAAGGCUAGGGGAGCAAAAGGGAUUAGAUACCCCUGUAGUCCUAGCAGUAAACGGUGUGCGCUUGGUGUGAGGGGAUUCGACCCCCCUUGUGCCGGAGCUAACGCGUUAAGCGCACCGCCUGGGAAGUACGGCCGCAAGGCUA